CGGCGGACGGGUGAGUAACACGUGGGUAACCUGCCCAUAAGACUGGGAUAACUCCGGGAAACCGGGGCUAAUACCGGAUAAUAUUUUGAACUGCAUGGUUCGAAAUUGAAAGGCGGCUUCGGCUGUCACUUAUGGAUGGACCCGCGUCGCAUUAGCUAGUUGGUGAGGUAACGGCUCACCAAGGCAACGAUGCGUAGCCGACCUGAGAGGGUGAUCGGCCACACUGGGACUGAGACACGGCCCAGACUCCUACGGGAGGCAGCAGUAGGGAAUCUUCCGCAAUGGACGAAAGUCUGACGGAGCAACGCCGCGUGAGUGAUGAAGGCUUUCGGGUCGUAAAACUCUGUUGUUAGGGAAGAACAAGUGCUAGUUGAAUAAGCUGGCACCUUGACGGUACCUAACCAGAAAGCCACGGCUAACUACGUGCCAGCAGCCGCGGUAAUACGUAGGUGGCAAGCGUUAUCCGGAAUUAUUGGGCGUAAAGCGCGCGCAGGUGGUUUCUUAAGUCUGAUGUGAAAGCCCACGGCUCAACCGUGGAGGGUCAUUGGAAACUGGGAGACUUGAGUGCAGAAGAGGAAAGUGGAAUUCCAUGUGUAGC
RNAcentral lists this ribosomal RNA (598 nucleotides) under Bacillus sp. (in: firmicutes). RNAcentral describes it as "bacterial SSU rRNA". It matches the Rfam family "Bacterial small subunit ribosomal RNA", at positions 96 to 679 of the family's 1533-position model. The record is from RNAcentral. Lineage: Bacteria; Bacillati; Bacillota; Bacilli; Caryophanales; Bacillaceae.